Siniperca chuatsi (mandarin fish) is the source of this 680-nucleotide long non-coding RNA. RefSeq lists it as uncharacterized. The transcript has 5 exons. The record is from RefSeq and is a predicted model, not a curated record. Lineage: Eukaryota; Metazoa; Chordata; Actinopteri; Centrarchiformes; Sinipercidae.
CCGGAUUGGAAACUACAAAAGGCCCUUUAAAGCUUCUUCAGAGCCCUCGGCCCUUAAAACCGAAGCUUCACACACGAGAGCUGUCCCUAUACAAUCUUUUUUUGUAGGGACAUUCUCAGAAACAAAGAGGAGGCCGGAGGUCCUGGAAGGCUCCUCUUCCAGUCCCUGGUGAAUCAAAAGCAUAACUAUAAACAGUGGAAGUUUGUUUCUGCAUUUGGCUCUUUGCAAAGUGGGAAAAACCAGAUGCAGCACCAACCCCACUGACACGGCAGAGGACACAGACGCAGAAGGUGCACAGCAGAUGGAAGAAGAGUCCUCAGAAACAGCCACUAAUGUAGCCUUUGCGAUGACUGCAGAUGAAGAUCAAGGAAAUUUGUGCUGUGUCUGCCGCAUCCAUUUUGACAAGAAGAAGAACGCUACAAAGAAGUGGCUUUCAUGGUGCCAAUCAUGGUUACACACUGCCUGAAGCAACAUGUGCCUUCACUGGCAGUGUCACAACACCCUGAAACAUGUAACAUUUACUGCAUUGCAGGGUUUAUGUUUUGAGUUGUUUGUUGUUUUUACUGUCAACUGUAAGAAGAAAACUAACAUUUUAGUUCAUCUUAAUUAAGAAGCCUGAUCUGAUUUACCAUGAUUUGGGAGUUAUUUAAGUUUAUGCAAUAAACUACACCUGGACCAGU